GCAAGUCGAGCGGAAACGACAUUAACAAUCCUUCGGGUGCGUUAAUGGGCAUCGAGCGGCGGACGGGUGAGUAAUGCCUAGGAAAUUGCCUUGAUGUGGGGGAUAACCAUUGGAAACGAUGGCUAAUACCGCAUAAUGCCUGCGGGCCAAAGAGGGGGACCUUCGGGCCUCUCGCGUCAAGAUAUGCCUAGGUGGGAUUAGCUAGUUGGUGAGGUAAUAGCUCACCAAGGCGACGAUCCCUAGCUGGUCUGAGAGGAUGAUC
Molecule: ribosomal RNA, 262 nt
Filed under: uncultured bacterium
Lineage: Bacteria
Description: partial 16S ribosomal RNA
Rfam family: Bacterial small subunit ribosomal RNA
Source: RNAcentral